AGUGAACGCUGGCGGUAGGCCUAACACAUGCAAGUCGAACGGCAGCACAGUAAGAGCUUGCUCUUACGGGUGGCGAGUGGCGGACGGGUGCGGAAUCCAUCGGAAUCUACUUUUUCGUGGGGGAUAACGAAGGGAAACUUACGCUAAUACCGCAUACGACCUACGGGUGAAAGCAGGGGAUCUUCGGACCUUGCGCGAUUGAAUGAGCCGAUGUCCGAUUAACUAGUUGGCGGGGGAAAGGCCCACCAAGGCGACGAUCCGUAGCCGGUCGGGGAGGAUGAUCUGGCCCCUUGGAAGUGGGAGAACGCUCGGACUACUGCGGGAGGGAGCAGUGGGGAACAUUGGACAGUGGGUGCAAGUCCUAUCCAAGCAUUCCGCAUGGGGCAAGAAGGCGUCUGCGUGGUAAAGGCCUUUUGUUGGGAAAGAAAAUCGGCCGCCUAGUACCCCGCCGUGCUGACGGUACCCAAAGAAUAAGCACCGGCUAACUUCGUG
Molecule: ribosomal RNA, 492 nt
Filed under: uncultured bacterium
Lineage: Bacteria
Description: partial 16S ribosomal RNA
Rfam family: Bacterial small subunit ribosomal RNA
Source: RNAcentral